Molecule: ribosomal RNA, 829 nt
Filed under: uncultured bacterium
Lineage: Bacteria
Description: bacterial SSU rRNA
Rfam family: Bacterial small subunit ribosomal RNA
Source: RNAcentral
AGAGUUUGAUCAUGGCUCAGAGCGAACACUGGCGGCGUACUUAACACAUGCAAGUCGAGCGAGGAUCACAGUGUGAGCAAUCAUGUUGUGGUCCUAGCGGCGUACGGGUGAGUAACACGGGGGUAACUUGUCCCCGAGACCGGGAUACCCCCUCGAAAGGGGGGCUAAUACUGGAUACGCUCUUCGGGACGUCGGUUCUGGAGAAGAAAGGUAGCCGCAAGGCUGCCACUCAGGGAGAGACCCGCGGCCUAUCAGCUAGUUGGUAGGGUAACGGCCUACCAAGGCGAUGACGGGUAGCUGGUCUGAGAGGACGACCAGCCACACGGGGACUGAGACACGGCCCCGACUCCUACGGGAGGCAGCAGUGAGGAAUUUUCCGCAAUGGGCGAAAGCCUGACGGAGUGACGCCGCGUGGGGGAUGAAGGCCUUCGGGUCGUAAACCCUUGUCAGGGGGAAAGAUGGGUGUCGGCGUGAACAGCGCCGGCACUUGACGGUACCUCCAGAGGAAGCCCCGGCCAACUCUGUGCCAGCAGCCGCGGUAAGACAGAGGGGGCAAGCGUUGCUCGGAAUUACUGGGCGUAAAGGGCGCGUAGGCGGGAUGGCAAGUCGGCCGUGAAAGCCUCCGGCUCAACCGGAGAAUGUCGGUCGAGACUGCUGUCCUUGAGGGUAGGAGAGGAGACUAGAAUUCCCGGUGUAGCGGUGAAAUGUGUAGAGAUCGGGAGGAAUACCGGUGGCGAAGGCGGGUCUCUGGCCUACAUCUGACGCUGAGGCGCGAAAGCGUGGGGAGCAAACGGGAUUAGAUACCCCGGUAGUCCACGCGGUAAACGAU